Molecule: long non-coding RNA, 180 nt
Organism: Maniola jurtina (meadow brown)
Lineage: Eukaryota; Metazoa; Arthropoda; Insecta; Lepidoptera; Nymphalidae
Exons: 5
Source: RefSeq, a predicted model, not a curated record
AAAGGAUAUGUUUAAAAACAAAGGGCGACCUUAUCACUACAGUGAACUCUUCCAGGCAACCCAUACUUAAGAACUUAUAGAACUGUAAGACGGAGAGCCGCAAUGCAACUAUAUACAUAGGUAUACAUAAACAUACACUCUAAUAGGUAAUUCUUAUACUAUAAAAUAAUAAUAUAAUAA